AUUCAGACGAUCACGCACUGAGACCUGUCAACCACAAACGGUCAGAUGAAUACCUAUGGAUUUUGGGGGUCCUGGUGCAGUUUUUGGAUGGAAGUUAACUCAAAAUGAUUGAAAACGUACCUCAGGUCUUCCAGACAAUAGUUGGGUGGUAGACUUCAACAUCUGGUGAAGCCUUGCCCAAUCCUACCAGCUCUAAAAGCAUCCCCAAGAAAUGAUGUGGAGAACAAUCUCAGAAUGAAAGUUUAAGAAAAACCUGCAAGUCUAAAUAAGAAUGAGAAAGAGGCAUCCAAGGUGACGUCUCUGGCAAGAGAAGAAUUCAAUAAUUCAGGUCAAAAACUUAAUGGUGUUCCGACGAAGGCUACAGCCACACUAGACUGGAUAAUUUUGAAAAUGCCAGUUUUGUGUGAAAACGACAGGCAUCCACAUUAGGUGUUUUUAAAAAUACCUCUGUCCACAUUAAAGCGGAUAUUUGGGCGAAUCUCCUCCUACUGGGCAUGCGCAGGACACACAGAAAACAAGCGAAGAGGAAACGGUAUACCUGGUGCGCGUUUGUCCAGAAAUAUUUCCUACAGCCAUAGUCUCUUCAUCGAUGAAAGGGACGACAGCUACAACUAAAUGCCAUAAGGCUUGUUACUGGGCAAAAGUGAAAUUUGCUGUUACCUCAUUUGUCUGCCUUUACGUUUGCCAUGUCUUUGUGUAUUAUUUUGUUGUAUUUAACAUGUGCAGUAAAAUGAGUUACUGGGCAAAAGUGACAAUUGCACCUAUUGAAUAUUUGAACAAGAAAUACCAUA
Mobula hypostoma (lesser devil ray) is the source of this 791-nucleotide long non-coding RNA. RefSeq lists it as uncharacterized. The record is from RefSeq and is a predicted model, not a curated record. Lineage: Eukaryota; Metazoa; Chordata; Chondrichthyes; Myliobatiformes; Myliobatidae. The transcript is spliced from 4 exons.